This 1288-nucleotide long non-coding RNA is filed under the name Marmota monax (woodchuck). The record is from RNAcentral. Lineage: Eukaryota; Metazoa; Chordata; Mammalia; Rodentia; Sciuridae.
GUCAGUAAAGUUUUGCUUCAGCCAUCUAACAAGUGUUUAUGAAACGCCCAUCAUGUCCCAGACCCUUCAGAUGACAAUGAGCAAGACCAAGUUCUUUCCUUCCUGGAAUAUUCUAGUGAGGUGAAACAUGAGGACCAUUGGCAGAGGAGGAGGAAGUAUCGUGACCCAGGAGCUGAUGGGGUGGAUAUAUGGGAUCAGGGUGAGAGAGAAAUCAAAGAUGAUUUCCAAAUUUAUAGCCUGAGUGGCUAUAAAUUUGAACAUCUGGCUGAGUGGUCUUGCCAUUUACUGAGUUGGGGGAAAUGAGGAGAGGAGAUUCUGGUAAGAAAAAUCAAAUUUCAUUUUGGACAUGUUAAGUUUGAGAUCCUUAACAGGCCGCUGUCGGAGACAUCAGGACAAAGCAAGAUGUGUCCAAACUGGUGUGCGGGGGAAUAGCUGAGGCUAGAAAUAGAAAUUGGAGGUUGUAUAAGUUUCUUAGGACUGUUGUAAAAGAUCAUCACUGGCUGACUGGCUUAAAGGAAAUUUACUCUUCCGGUAGCUCUGGAGGGUUUAAGUCCAAAAUCAAGAUGUUAGUAGGGCCUUGGGAAGAAUCAGUUCUUCUUGUCUCUUCCUAGCUUCUGAUGGUUGCUGGCAAUCCCCGACAUUCCUUGGCUUAUAGCUGUAUUGAUUCCAAUUUCUGCCUUGUCUUCAUAUCUUUGUCUGUCUUCUCUGAAGAUAAGUCAUUGGAUUAGGAUCCACUCUAAUCCUAUAUGACCUAAUCUUAAUCCCAUCUGCAAAGACCCUAUUUCAAAUGAGAUCACAUGCACGAGCACUGUGAAUGAGCACUUCAGUGUGUCUCUUUGGGGGACACCAUUUUAUCUACUGCAAGGGUCCUUAGCAGGUGGUUUUUACAGUCACGAGACUGGUUGGCAUCAACCCGGGAGGACAUGGAGUAGCAUAAGAGCUGAGAGCCAAGAACUGGCCCAUGUGGCCCUCUGACAGUUUGGAGGCAGAAAAAGGAAAAGAAUGUGGCAGAGAGGACAGAAAAGGAACAGCAAAGGUGGUAAAAAGGAAAUGCAGGAAAGCAUGGAAUUGAGAGGGCUAUUCCUCAAAGAGUGGGUCCUGGAUUGAGUCUGUCCACUUCAAUGAGUGGAUACGUCAUUAAAACAGAGUAGGUGUUCUGCAAAUUUUAUAGCAAUUUGACGUUGUCCUAUCAUUCAAACAGGUACUUAGUUUCCAUUAUUUAAUUUUUUUUUUUUUUUUAGCCUACUGGGCAUGAUGGCAUAUGCCGGUAAUCUCUCAGUGACUUGGG